RNAcentral lists this transfer RNA (91 nucleotides) under Gammaproteobacteria bacterium. Its description in RNAcentral is "tRNA-Ser". It matches the Rfam family "tRNA". Rfam says of the family: Transfer RNA (tRNA) molecules are approximately 80 nucleotides in length. Their secondary structure includes four short double-helical elements and three loops (D, anti-codon, and T loops). Further hydrogen bonds mediate the characteristic L-shaped molecular structure. tRNAs have two regions of fundamental functional importance: the anti-codon, which is responsible for specific mRNA codon recognition, and the 3' end, to which the tRNAs corresponding amino acid is attached (by aminoacyl-tRNA synthetases). tRNAs cope with the degeneracy of the genetic code in two manners: having more than one tRNA (with a specific anti-codon) for a particular amino acid; and 'wobble' base-pairing, i.e. permitting non-standard base-pairing at the 3rd anti-codon position. The record is from RNAcentral. Lineage: Bacteria; Pseudomonadati; Pseudomonadota; Gammaproteobacteria.
GGAGAGAUGGCAGAGCGGUUGAAUGCGCAGACCUGGAACGUCUGUAUACGUUAAUAGCGUAUCGAGGGUUCGAAUCCCUCUCUCUCCACCA